RNAcentral lists this long non-coding RNA (42052 nucleotides) under Populus trichocarpa (black cottonwood). RNAcentral describes it as "long non-coding RNA (PTRI_LNC003603)". The record is from RNAcentral. Lineage: Eukaryota; Viridiplantae; Streptophyta; Magnoliopsida; Malpighiales; Salicaceae.
UGUGACUUCGUUGCACACGUGAAAUGUAGCAGAGAAUAUGGCGAUUCUGCAACAGAGACUGCAGGACAAAACCAAGAAGGGCAAAGUGUGACUGUUGAUGAUCAAUUCAUGGAACCUAGCUUUCGCGCUGUCCGUGAGAUCAGGCAUGGAGAUGAGAGAAUAAUUGAAGAGAUCAAACAUUUGAGUCAUCAACAUAACCUAGUCCUUUUUGACAAGGUUGAUGAUGAUCUAAAGUGUGAUGGGUGCAUGUUACCAAUCUCAACUCCGUUUUAUAGUUGUGCCAGUUGUAAUUUCUUUCUUGACAAAACGUGCAUAGAAUUACCCAGGCGAAAAAAGUGGCAAUAUCACGAAAACCAACUGAUUCUUUCAUGGAACAUAGGGGUACAUUCCAUGUACAUGUGUGAUUUGUGUAAUCAAUAUUUUCGUGGGCUCAGCUACUUUUGUGAUAUAUGUCGUCUCUGCAUUGAUGUCCGAUGCUUCAAAUCAUUGAAAGAUUCUUUUAAACAUGGAGGUCAUGAGCAUCCCCUUUAUCUUCCAGCGGACAGAAAGAAUAUUCUCCGUUGCAAUAUUGGAGGUCGCGGGCUCCCCCCUUGGGCUGCAGAUGACAGAGAGAAUAUUCCCCAUUGCAGUGGCUGUUGUGUCAGUGAAGAAUCAAAGGUGUUUUUUAAAUGUGUGGUUUGCGAUUUCAAGCUGGGUAUGAAAUGUGCUACACUUCCAUACAAAGCAAGACACGAGUAUGAUGAGCAUCCUCUCUUCCUCACCUACAUGAAUGAAAAUGACUACCAACCUUCCUGUAUAAUUUGUGAAAAAGAUAGAGACCCAAAGCUCUGGUUCUACCGUUGCGAGAAAUGCGACUUCGAUGCUCAUCCAGAGUGUGCUCUCGGGAAAUACCCAUAUGUCAAGCCAGGGGGGGUUCACACGUAUCCUAAACACCCUCACCCUCUUGUUUUGGUCGUCAAGACAGAGGAUUAUCGUCCACAGGCAUGCGAUACUUGUGGUGAGCCUUGCGACGACUUGGCCCUUGAAUGUACUGAUCCUAACUGCAGUUUUAUCGUCCACCGGGAUAGAUGGGAAUGCUAUGAGUCAUUAUGGUGAUUGGAUUGCAGUUGAUGGCUUUUUUCUUAUUUUUGGGUUAUGAUUGUUGGGGUGAAUGGUUAGCUUCAUACUUAUUAUCUCUGUUUCUAUUUUCGCAUAUCAGAUCACUUUUUUUGUUUCUCUAUCUGUUUUUUUUUUCUGAACAAUGGAUGCUAUUUUAUUAAAACUGUCAAGCUCUCCAUAAAUUCUGCAUUUACAUUUUUGUUAUAGAUUUUAUUGUAAAUGCAUAAAAAUAGUCAUAUAAAACAACACUUAUCUAACUGAUAUCAAUUAUUUUCAUUCAAAUAUUUAAUUUUUAUUUCCUUAACACAAUCUAAUAUUAAAUAAAUGUAUUUAAAUAAUAUUUAAAAUGAACACCUCAAGGGCAUUCGAUAACUUUGUCUUUUAAUAAGAUAUAUCAUGAAAAAGUAAGUUAAUUCAUGUUCUUGGUAUUUUUCUUCUUAAAAAGAGUAAGAAUAUUUGGUUAGAUCUGAUAAAUCAACGACGAUUUUUAAUUUAGAUAAAAAGCUUUUUUUAGCUCAAACCCAAUUUAAUUAUUUGAAAGUGUUAUUGAUUUUAAAGGAUUAUAAAAUUCUAAUUUUAUAGAAAAUAAAUCUUUUAAAAUCUUCUAAUAAAAUUUGAGAUAAAAAAAAAUCCUUUACAAGACUGCUUAUUUAAGAAAAAUAUCCAAUUAAAAAUCUCCAACCUUUGCAUGCUGCUAGCAACAUUCCCAGCCUUCUUGGAUUGUAUUUUUCUUAGUUGCUUGGUUUAUUUGUAGUAAAUUGGUAAGUACCAGCGAGUUAGGUUAAAAUUAGGUGCAUAUCUGAAGCAUUCCUUAAUGUUUGACGUCAUAGGAAUGUUCAUAUCGUGACAGUUAAGGUAUCCUUUUCUCUUUGGAAUUUAAGCAAAAAAAUUCUCUGUUUCAUCAAAUUGAGUCGACAUCGACUCAUAAAUUCCCUCAAUUAUAUCAUUCAAGCAAGAACAACUUGUUAUCGUCAAUCGACAUCACACCAAAUAAUUACGAUAACGAAAAAUAAAUUUGAUUAAUUAGCUGUACUGGACUUGGAAUUAAUGCAUUCACUGUUUUCUGAAACUUUUCCUAGUAGAUUUUCAACUUUGCUAUGAGUUUUCAAAACAUGAUAAAAAGAUUUAUAUUCUUUUAUUUUGUUCAAGCAACACUGACAUGGCAAUAAGCUAGCAUUGCACUGCUAUGGAUCGUGGCGAUUUGAUUUGUUUUCCAAUUUACAAUUUAGUCAAAUUCCAAGAAAACUAACACAAAAAAAGAGAGUAAAUGACCUGUUCAAAAUCUAAUUAGAAAUAAACUUCAUUUUUUGAUAUAUGGGAACUGAUUAUAAUGAUAACUUGACCAUUGAAACCUGAAAAGGCAUCCAUCUGAAGAUGCCACCUACAUGAUUUAAUGUCAUUUUAGUUUUUGCCGUAUACAAAAUUUUACAGCACAUUGAGCCAUGAAAGUGACCCGUUUUGGAAUGAGUCCAGAGGGGUCUUUGAAAUUGCAGUUAGAACGUGAUUUAAAAAAAAUUAUUUUUUAAUAUUUUUGUAUAGGUAUUGGUAUCAUAAAUAAAUUUUAAAAAAUAAAAAAUAAAAAUUUUAAUUCAUUUUUUUUUUUUUAAAAAAAAAAACAAUUACUUUGAAACAACGUGGCAACUGAAUGGUGGUGCAGUUAAACGCAUUUUCCUAAUCAGCAGUUUUCCUUUCGAAAUGAAAACGGUUGGCGUGUACUUGUGCUUCCUUUUCUUUUUCUUUUAUUUUUGUUUUAUUUUUUAUUUUUUUUUAUUAACAUGCAUGUCCAGGUCAUCUUAUGUGCAACUUGACUAAUCUCACGGACCCUAAAGUUAAUAACUAUAUAAACCUCUAGUGGUCCUGAGGUUUGUAGGACCCGAAUGAGUGACCUCUAGAGAGCAAAUUUAGGAUCUGACCAGUUAAGCUAUACCCCUCAGAUUUAUUUUUUUAGUUUUUAUUCCAUAGUAAAAGGUAUUUUUUAUUAGUUUAUAUGUUAAUCAAGAUUGAGUUUUUUUAUUCAGAUGAUUUUAAAGAUAAAUAAUUUAAAGUUAUGAAUCAUCGAAUAAUCCAUUUAAAGUUAUAAAGUUGUGAUGUGUCUUAAAUCAAAUAAAAACUAUACUAGAUUAUUGACUUGUAUUAUGCUACAGGCUAGGUUAAAUUUUUUAUAAAUAUAAAAAAAUUAUUUAGAUAUUGUUAAUGUUUUUUUUCCAGUGAAAAAAUCUAAAUCACUGGAAGAUUGACCUGAUAUAACCAUAGUUAUAAAACCCGACCUGGUAGUUGACCCGGUAAAAUAACCGGGUCUCAGGUCUUGGGGGUCAACCCCUCUCCUUAAAUAUAAGGAUUAAAGAAAUCAAACUGCUAUAUCAUCCCUAAACCGCAAAACCCAGUGAUAAAUUGCUUGCAUUUCCUAUCCAUUUUUAGCAUAAGCAGCCGAAUGAAGAUGAAAAUACUUGUGUAACUAAAAUUUAAGUAGUAGAUCAAAAAUAGAAUGGUACUAGUAAAUGAGUGACUAUGAACUAUUAAAUAGAUUUAUUUAAUGUAUUAUAAAACUACCCUGUCUGUUUUCAAUUUAAUUAAUUUCUCCAUAGUUAUGAUCACUAAAACCCAUAAAGAUUUGUGAAUUUGAAGAAGAAAAUAAUAUUAUUUAACCUUUUUGUAAUUUAGGUUUAUAAUAAAAUUACAUUCCAACCAUGCUUUUAAAAAAAUUAAACUUUUUUUUAGCUUUAAUUUUUUUUUGUUCUUUAAUCGUUUUGAUAUGUUAAUUUAAAAAAAAUAUAAAAACAAAUUAUUUUGAUAUAUUUUUAAAUAAAAAAACAUCUCAAUUAUAUUUCUAAACAAGCGCAUGCUUGGAUUUGUAUGUUGAAAAUUCAUAGUUUUUAAACUCGGUCCGGUCCAAGAUCCGGGUUCCGGGUUUUGACCGGGUCACCAAGUCAUCCGGGUCAAUUUUUUUAAAAUCAAAAUGACUUUGUUUUAGUAAAAACAAGUUAACGGGUUGCAACCGGGUUUUGCCGCGUCACCUAGGUUGCCGGGUCAACUCAUGUUUUUUCUUUUUUAAAUCUGAUCCAGUUCUAACUUCGAAUUAGCUGGGUUUUGGAUCAAUUUGUCAAGACAGACGGGUUCUAAACUAUGAUUGAAGUUACUAUGUUUUCUAGUUUCCUUUUGUCCUUUUUACCUCACAUUUUUAAUCCUCAUGGUUCUCUUGCUUUGGAAAUGGAUGGCGAUGGCUUUAGUCAAUGCACUAGUUACAUGACCCGCGCGAUGCCGCGGGUCAAUGGUUUUUGCAUAAAAAAUAUCAAAAAAAAAUUAAAAUCUAAAAGUAUUAGGUUUUUUUGCAAAAUUAUACCCAAGAGUCUUGGGUGUGGCUGCAACGCCUGACCCAAGAGUAAUAUUUAUAAUAUUAAUAAUAACAUUAAACUUGUAUGACCCAAGUUUAAGUGGGUCUGACUGCAAUACCAGACCCAAUAGUCUUGGAUGUGGGUUUGGCUGCAAGGUCGUGUCAUAAAAGUGUGUUAAUUAAAUAGAUUAAUUAAAAAGAAAAAAACCAAAAGGAAGAAAAAAACUAAUAAAGAAAAAGAAAAAAAUCUGAAUUAACUGGGUUAACCCUUCAAACCAGGUUAACCCAUCACACCUUGGAUUCGUGUCGUGAAAGUUUGAUAACUAAAUAGAAAAAAAAUUGACAGGUUAACACAAAAUUAACUAGGCUAACCCGUCAAACCCGGGAUCCGUGUCAUGAAAGUUUGAUAACUAAAUUAAACGAAAAAAAUUAAUUAAAAAGAAAAAAAAAACAAACAAAAAGGCAUCACCCUUUUCACUGUGGACUCAGUAUGCAGUCUACAGUUAAAGACAUAAAAACAGCAAAAAAGCAAAAAGAAAAAAAAAACUAAAAGCAUCAGUCGAUAACUAAAUAGAAAAAAAUUUAAUAUUGAUGAACUAAAUUAAAUAAAAAAAAUUAAAUAAAAAGAAACAAUAAAAGAAAAAAAACUUAUAAGAAGAAAAAAACUAAUGAAGAAAAAGAAAAAAAAUCUAAAUUAACUGGGUUAACCCGUCAAACCUGAGAUCCGUGUCAUGAAAGUCUGAUAACUAAAUAGAAAAAAAUUUAAUAUCAACAAACUAAAUAAAAAAAUUAAUUAAAAAGAAAAAAAAGAAGGCAUAAGCUUUUUCACCGUGGACUGCACUGUGCAGUCCACAGUAAAAGGCAUAAAAAAAAAAAGAAACUAAAGGCAUCAGCUUUUUCACCGUGGACUGCACUGUGCACUCCACAGUAAAAGGCAUUAAAAAAAAGCAAAAAAAAAAAAACUAAAGGCUUCAGCCUUUUCACUGUAGACUGCAUAUAAUAUUAAAAUAUGAAAUCGAAAGAACAAAACUAAUGAGGAAAAAGAAAAAAAAUCUGAAUCAACCGGGUUAACCCGCCAAAUUAGGUUAACCUGUCAAACCUGGAAUUCGUGUCAUGAAAGUGUGAUAACUAAAUAGAAAAAAGAUUUAUUAUUAAUGAAAUAAAUUAAAAAAGAGAUUAAUUAAAAAGGAAAAAGCAAAUAGAAAAAAAUACCUACAGGAAGAAAAAAAACUAAUCAAGAAAAAGAAAAAAAAUCUGAAUAAACUGGGUUAACCUGUCAAACCUGGGAUCCAUGUCAUGAAAGUCUGAUAAUUAAAUAGAAAAAAUUUAAUAUUAAGAAACUAAAUUUAAAAAAAAAUAAUUAAAAAAAAGAAAAAAAAAUUAAAGGCAUUAGUUUUUUCACUGUGGAUUGUACUGUGCAAUCCACAGUAAAUAAUAUACGAAACCAUCAAACUUAUUUGAAACAAUAAAUAAUUAAGUUAUUAUAUGAAUAUUAAUUGAAUAUAAAUAAUUAAGUUAUUUGAAACAAUAAACAAUAAAAGGACAUGAGAGGAUGAAUAUGAAUUGAAUCCUAACUCCACUCUAAAACUAAUAGUUUCUAAUACUACUUUUCAUUUCAUUAGUAACUUAUUCAGUGGCGGAGCCACAGCUAGGUAAGAGGAGGGUAAUUGCCUUUUUAAUUUUUUUUAAAGUAUUGUUUUAUAUUAAAAUAUUAAUAUAAUAGCUUUAUAGUGUUAAUUUUCUUUAUUAGCUACUAAUUGAUCCAAGCUUUUGUAUAAUUAUUAUUAUCCUUGUCUUUCUCUUUUUAUAAAAUUUAUCUUCAAGCCAUAAACUAUUAAUUAAUUAAGUAAAUAGAUUCUUAUAUUUUAUAUUUUAGGGAAGUUUUCUUUAUUUUUUCUAUUUGUUUCAUUAUCUAAUUUUAGUUUUAUUUCUUUAUAAUUAGUUACUAAAAAUAUUGGGGUUUAUAAUAAUUUAUGAGUUUAUUGAAUUAAUAUGUGUAUAGGUAAUAUUAUAUGCUAAUGGAUAUGAAUUGAAAUGAGUUUUGAUGAAUUGAUAAGUAUUUUGUUAUGAAUUUCAUAUGAAAAAUGAUGGUGAUGAAUUUACUAGUAAUUAAAAAUGAAGUACAUGACAACUAAAAAAAUUAGAAACAUAAUAGAUAAAUUAAAAAGAAAACAUUUAAUAUUUAUGUUUAAUUUAGACGGCUACUGAAUUCACCUUCACUAAAAUCAAUCUCCUUCACUUGCAAUGCAUGCGGCACUGAUGGAGAUGACUCCCUAUUAGUGUGCACCAUGUGCCAAAUCUUGGUCCACGAAAAAUGCAUUUCAUUGCCACGCACCCUUAAAACGGUACUGCACCAUCAUCCCCAUAUCAUCCACACCUAUCAUCCUCAACAAUGUAUCAAAUCUAUAAACAAGUACUGUGGAAUUUGCCGUCGGGAAGUUGACACAGAAUACGGAGUUUACUAUUGCCCAGACUGUGACUUUGUUGCACACGUGAAUUGUAGCAGAGAAUAUGGCGAUUCUGCAACAGAGAUUGUAGAAGAAAACGAAGAAGAGCAAAGUGUGACUGCUGAUGAUCAAUUCAUGGAACCUAGCUUUCGCGUUGUCCGUGAGAUCAAGCAUGGAGAUGAGAGAAUAAUUGAAGAGAUCGAACAUUUCAGUCAUCAACAUAACCUAAUCCUUAUUGACAAGGUUGAUGAUGAUCUAAAGUGUGAUGGGUGCAUGUUACCAAUCUCCACUCCAUUUUAUAGUUGUGCCAGUUGUAAUUUCUUUCUUGACAAAACCUGCAUAGAAUUACCCAGGCGAAAAAAAUGGCAAUAUCACGAAAACCAACUGAUUCUUUCAUGGAGCCGAGGGCCACAUGAUCUGUUCUACUGUGAUGUGUGUAAGCAAUAUUUUCGUGGGCUCAGGUACAAAUGUGAUGUAUGUGCACUCUGGAUUGAUGUCCGAUGCUAAUCAUUGGAAGAUUCCACUAAACAUGGAGGUCAUGAGCAUCCCCUUUAUCUUCCAACGGGCAGAAAGAGUAUUCUCCGUUGCCGUAUUGGAGUUCGCGGGCAUCCCCCUUUGCUUGCAGAUGACACAGAGAUUAUUCCCCAUUGCGGUGGCUGUUGUGUCAGUGAAGAAUCAAAGGUAUUUUUUAAAUGUGCGGUUUGCGAUUUCAAGCUGGGUAUGAAAUGUGCUACACUGCCAUACAAAGCAAGACACGAGUAUGAUGAGCAUCCUCUCUUCCUCACCUACAUGAAUGAAAAUGACUACCAACCUUCCUGUAUAAUUUGUGAAAAAGAUAGAGACCCAAAGCUCUGGUUCUACCGUUGUGAGAAAUGCGACUUCGAUGCUCAUCCAGAAUGUGCUCUCGGGAAAUACCCAUACGUCAAGCGAGGGGGCGUUCACACGUAUCCUAAACACCCUCACUCUAUUGCUUUGGUCGACAAGACAGAGGAUUAUCCUGCAUGCGAUACUUGUGGUGAGCCUUGCGAUGACUUGGCCCUUGAAUGUACUGAUCCUAACUGCGAUUUUAUCGUCCACAGGAAAAGAUUGCAAUGCUUUAUGUCAUUAUGGUAAUUGGAUUGCAUUUGUUGGCUUUUUUUCUUUUUUUUGGGUUAUGAUUAUUGGCAGUUGCAAGACAGAGGAUUAUUAUCUCUGUUUCUAUUUUCGCAUAUGAGAUCACUCUUUUUUUUUUCUCUGUUUUUUUUUCUGAACAAUAAAAGAUGCUAUUUUAUUAAAACUGUCCUUGAAGGUAGUUUGUUGUUUCUUUGAGCCUUCGUAGUGACAAAGAUGUCUGACCUUCCACCAUUUUUUUUAGCGGCAAAAACAAGCUAUUGAGUAAAAUCACCAUGUUAAAAUCAUAAUUCUCUAAUUAAAAUAUAAUAUUAUAGUGUUUAUAUAUUAAAAAAAUCUGGAAUAAAAUUAAAAAAAUAAUAAUAAAAUUUUAAACUAAAUAGAAAAAAAAUCUAAAUCAACUAAUAAAAUAUUAUAAGUGUGGAUAGUUUUGUGGUUUUAUUUGAAAGUCUUAUUGACUUCGUUGCUUCUUAUUACCGGCGUUUCGAACGCAAAAAAAUAUGUGGGAUCCAUGCACAGUAAAUCAAUUUUUUUUUUUACCAAACGGCUGCAAACUGCGUUUUAAUUAAAACGCAGCCGCAGCCGCGUAAACAAACGCCCUCGAAAUCCUGAUUUUUAUGCACUGUACAUGUUAAUUGCACUAUUCAAUAAACAGUGCAAUUAACAUGAACAAUGUACAUGGUACACUGUUCAGUGUACAAUGCAAUUUACUGCACUGUUCACGUGAACAGUGCAAUUCACUUGCACUGUUCACAAAGGUGUGUUUUUUUUUAAUUAUUAUUAACAUUUAAAAAAAAAAAAUUAGUUUAGAGUGAAUUAAAUUUAUUUGCACUGUGAUGUGAACAAUAUUUUUUUUCUCAAAAAACUAGUAUAGAGUGAAUUAGAUUCACUCGCACUGUGAUAUCAAUUUUAUAUCUGAUAAUAUUUUAUCUAAUUUUAUUACACGCUCAAAAAAUUAUAAAAACUGUAGUUCUUAUCAGAUGAAUUUUGUACGUAAUGGAAUUAUAAAUAGUUUAAUGAAAUAAUAAAAAAUAUUUUAUAUAAAGUAUUAUUUAUUUCAUGAUAUAAUAAGAGUAAUUAAUUCUACAAUAUUUAAAUUUAAAACCAUCAAUAUUAAUAUAUAUUUUUAAAAAUUAUUUUAUAACCUCAAUUUCAAAAGCUUUCUUAACCAAACAUAUUAAACUACUUUUGUUUCAACCUCAAUUUCAACCACAGUUUUAACCAAACAUCUAUUUUUUCAAACCAACCUCAACUAAAAGUACUUUUUAUAAAAUAACUUUUUUCAAACCACAACCACAACAGCUACCGCAAUACCAAACACACUCGAAGAUGGUUGGCGUGUACUUGUGCUUCCUUUUCCUUUUCUUUUAUUUUUAUUCCUUAUUAAAAGGUAUUUUUUUUUAAUUAGUUUAGAUAUUAAUCAAGAUUGAGUUUUUUAUUCAAAUGAUUUUAAAAAUAAACAAUUUAAAGUUAGGAAUCAUCGAACAACCUAUUUAAAGUUAUAUAGUUAUGUUGUGAUGUGUCUUAAAUCAAAUAGAAACCAUACUAGAUUAUUAAAAUGCAUUACACUGCGGAUUAAAUUAAUUUUUUUAUAAAUAUAAAAAAUAUUCAGAUAUUAUUAAUAUAUUUUUCUAGUAAUAAAAAUCUAAAUCAUAUGAAAAUUGAUUUGGUAUAACUUGAUUGACUUUACAAGUUUAAAAGCAACCCAUACAACCCGAAAAAAUAUAAUUUGAUUAAAAAAUAUUUUAAAAUGAUAUGUUUUUUUAAUAUUAAAAUAAAAAUAUACUUGACAAUUUUAUUAAAUUAAAUCUAGAAAAAAAAAAUAAUAGAUGCAAGAAAGACAUUUUUAUCUUAUGAUUUAUGUGAAUAUUAAAAUGUGUUUUAUAUGCUUGAUUUGGUUCCUGAUCUAUAGUAAUGAACCGGCUUUAUUUAAAAAUUUCUCAAAAAUUAAAAUUGCGUUGAACAAAUUAAUAAAACUACGCUAUCUCUUCUUUUUUAUUUUUAUAUAUUAAAUGGUUGGAUAAAGAUGAAAUAAAUAAUUUUAUAUUAUUUGUUUGUAUGUAUUACUUUUAUGCGUAGACUCUUUUAUUUGGUGAUAUACGACUACCUUAAUGUGAUUUUCCUCGUGCAUAUAUCAAUGACCUUUUUCAAAUUCCAAGAACAUGUCAAUUCAAAGAAAUUUCCUGGUUGAUAAUGAGCAGAGAUAAGCUAGCAGGGCGUAAUUUGACUGAAAAUAAAUGACAACAGGACAGGUUAAUUAGAUAUAGUGUACCAAUCAUUAAUUAAAUUUAUUUAAAUCAUUGACUACAAAUUCUAAGUAUUACCUGAACAAAUAAUUUCAUUUAAAAAAAAGUAUCAAAAACAUUAAACUGGACUCAUUCUUCCUAGAGCAAGAAAAAAAAAAUGUAUACAAUAUAUACAGAAUUAGAUUUGAAGAAGACGAGAGAGCAACCUCUUUUUCCCCUCUUAACCACGAGAAUUGAUUGAUGAAAGGAACGAUGAAGAGAACUUCGGAAUCAAAUAUAAUUAGAGUCAAAUAUUUUUAUAAACUCAAGUCAGUCUAUAUUGGAAACCAAUAUUAUUCCUAAUUGAUUUAAAUUCAUGCCUCCUUUUAUUCUUCCAAGUAAAUAACACAGAAACCUUAAUUAAACCUGGUAUUCUCUCAACAUGUACAUCACUACCUCUAAUGUUUUUUUAUUUGCUUGAAGGGGAAAAAAAGGUGAAAAUUUCAUCUUUUGCCUGGUUUCCAAAUGCAGACCUUGAUGAAAGGAGCCUGAAAGAACCCCAUGUAGUUGAAUGCGAUUUUCUCCCUUAUAAUGCAUUAAUUAUUCUUCCACACAUGUCAUGGCCAUGAAAAAAUAAUUUGGAAAAGUAGGUUUUUCAGAUUUGACUGUACCUCUUUGGAGAAUGGACGCAAAAUCCAAUUUUUUCUUGGAUAUAUGCUUCCCUUUUUCAACCAUGCAAAUAGCAAGGUACAUGGUCUUUUUAGUUCGGCCUGAGAGUUACUUGGUCAGACGAGGAAUAUGUGGGCUCAUUGUUAUGAGAAAGACAAAGUAGAAAAGAAAUGCUCCUUUCCAGCUUCUCAGAAAUUAAACAUGCACUGAAAGGGUAAUCAUGACAACUGACCAAUCCGCCUGCAAGGAAACCACUCCAAUCUUCCCCAUGAGAGAAUUUCUUCUUCAAAAGUAUUCAUUCUGCAGUGAAUUCAUGAUCAGAGCAGAGUUUUUCUUUGUGAACGUGCAAGUCAGUUGUGCCUUUUUUUCUCUGGGGGGAAUUGAUGAAUGUUAGCCCAAUGAUCCCCGUACCAAUGAAGUUUCCUUGAUUGAUACCCUCAAGGCCAGACGAAUACUGCAAGCACAAUAAAGUACAAGAACAAAUUGCAAUAAGAAAAACAAAGUAGAUUCUAUAAUCAUUUUCAUUGACUAUGGAUUUAGCUAUGGAAGUUUCAAUGGAUGACUAACUUGCGUAGAUGGUUAUUGAAUAUGGUCAAGCGGCGUGAGCAAGAUAUACAGCUAAUUAGACUUGUUCUUCAUGGAAUUUGUAAGAUCUCAUAAAUUUUAUUUUCUUAAUUGCAAAGGAAAAUCAGCAGGAGGAUCAGAAGUGGGACUGCAAGACAUGACGAUUAUAUAGAGACAAAUAUGCCCAUCAAAUCCAAUACAUACAAGCGUAAUUAAGCAGAGCACUCUUGUAUCGAUUUGAUGACAACUGCGUAAUAUUGGGCUAUUGGAACUACAAUAGCAUGCUGGGUUGUUGCCAUUGAUACACCAAUCAUCCUUCAACGUCUCUCCACUACUGUAACAUGAAUUGUGGGAGUUUACAGCAUGCUGGGUUGUGCCAAUAUGGUCAACCAAAUAUUACUCAGAUUGAUAUUAACUUCCCUGUUGUGAUAUCUACGAUUCUAAGUUUUCCAAGAGAAUAAAAUAUAAGAUCAGAAAAUACAAGGAAAUUUACUCCCUUAUAGAAGUCCUCACAUUUUUUUUCUAAUUUAAGCUGACAUGAACCUGUCUUUUAUAUAUCCUCGACUUCUCAUUCGUUUGGCUUUCAACUUGCCAGAAAGUAGCACAAAAUUAACUACAAUUCUAACUUCUCAUUCUUUGGAGAGUUACUUCUGGCGAGAUGCGCUUUUCCUUGGUAGCCACAUCUAUAAUUCUAGCUGUCCUCUGGGCUCUUGCUCUAGUACAUAGCCUUCAUUUUCAGUUUCCAAACUUCACGGAUUCUGAUAUAAAUCGACUUAUUUUGAGUCCCAUUUUUAAUAUAACCCAUGACGCCAUCCAAGUCACACCAGAUUCUAAUGGAUUUUCUAUGAAUAACAGGGCUGGAAGGGCCUUGUACAGAUGGCCAUUCAGGCUAUGGAGCAAUAACGGAGGGAAGAAAGCAUCUUUCAAUACAACCUUCGUACUUAAUAUACAAAACCAGACAGCUUCAAGUGGUGAAGGCUUAGCUUUUAUAUUAACAGAAGAUCGUGAUGUUCCAGAUGGAAGAGAAGGACAAUGGCUUGGAAUAGUAAAUUCCACGAAUGGAUCCAUUGAAGCCAGGACAGUGGCAGUAGAAUUUUCAUUGAAAUUUUGUUUCCUCAUCGGAUUUCAAGGAAAUGGGUGAUCUUUUUUAUGUUUUAAGAAUAUUUAAAAAAAAAUUAAUUUUUUUUUUAAAUUAAUUUUUCUUUAUGUUUUCACAUCGUUUUGAUAUAUUAAUAUCAAAAAUAAAUUUAAAAAUAAAAUCACUUAAAAAACCAUAAAAAAUAACCUGAGACAUUCCAUCAAACCUAUAAUUUGAGUCAUCAGACUUAGAUAACCUCUUAAAAAGAAAAUAAAAAAAAACAACUUGAUUUAACCCGAGUUAAGCUGUCAAACCCGCGACUCUAAUUAUGAGACCCGGAUAACCCCUUGAAAAGAAAAACAAAACAAAUUAUGAAGCUCAUUCCCAACCGACCCCAAUGUUGAAUGAUUAAUUUUGAAAAAAAAAAGUCAAUAAAAAAAGGAUACAAAAAACGACCCGAGUCAACUUCGGUUAACCCGUUAAGCAUUAUUCCUCGGUCAUGAGAGCAAGACAACCUAGUAAAAAGUAAGUUAAAAUAAAUCAUGAAACCUAAUUCCCACCCAACCCAAUAUGAAAGGAUAAAAUUAGAGAAUAUGACAAUUAAGGAAAAAAAAAAUAGAGUCAAUCAGGUUAACUUGCCAAAUCCACGACCAAGGUAAUGAGAUUAGAACAACCCAAUAAAAAAAAAUCUAAUGUUGAAGGACUCGUGACCUGGAUAAUGAGACCAAGAUAACCUCAAAGAAAAAAAAUAAAAACAAUAACUCUAUUUUAAACCUAGUUAACCUAUCAAACCCGCAACCUUGAUCAUAAGAUAAGGAUAACCCCAUAGAAAAUAUUUUUUUUAAAAAAAUUAUAAAGCUCAUUUUCCAACCGAUCCAAUAUUGAAUGAGAAAAUUAAAAAUAUAUAUAUUUUUAAAAAAAGACAUAAAAACCAUCUGAGUUAACUCGAUUAAUCUAUUAAUCUAUUCAUAAGUUAUAAGUCGUGAUAACCUAAUAGAAAGCAAACUGAAAAAAAUUAUGAUGCCCUACUCAAUAUUAAAUGAACAAAUUAAAGGAAAAAGUCAAUUAAAAAAUUUUUAAAAAAAACCUGAGUUAAUUGAGUUAAUCAGUCAAAUUUAUGAUUUAAAUUAUGAGACUGAAACAACCCAAUAAAAAAUAAAUUCAAUGUUAAAAAUGAAAUUGCAAGAAAAAAAGAAGAAGCAUUUAUUACAAAAAAUCAAAUGAAAAAAAAAGAAAGAAAGAAAAAGGCACUAUAGUGCUUCGUUUAGAAGCCCCUUCGAAAGAAUAUUGGUGAGGUUAUCAUAAAUAUAAUACCUUGCCAUAGGUAAUUUGCCUUAAUUUUUUCGGACUUGAUCAAUGGAUUAACCAAGAAAUAGAUUUUACUUCUGAAGAAAAUCUUUGUCUCACUUUCUUAAUACAUUUUACUUUAAGAAACAAGGAAAAAGAGAAGAAAAAAAAAAAGGACAAACGGGAAAUUACUUGGUUGAGAUAACCAAGAAAUAGGUUUAUCAACGGAAGGACCUAAUUUUUGUUCUAAAUAAACUUCAUGAAGCCGCUGUUUUGAAUUUCAACUUGUCGAAACUAGAGUUUUUAAACCCGGUUUGAUGAUCGACUCAACCUAAAAUUUAAGUCACGGGUUUUGCUUAGCCUGGUUCCAAUCCCAGGUCGGCUAAGUCCCACCUCAACCUACUAGGCCAAACCGAAUUUUAAAACUAUGAUCGAAACACAUUCAAACCAGCAUGUAUAUUAUAAUAGUGAUGAUUUUUUAUUUAAAAAUAUAUUAAAAUAUUAUUUUUUUUAUUUUAAAAAAUUUAUCUUUAACAUCAAUAUAUCAAAAAAAUCUAAAAAUAUAUAAAAAAUGAAUUUAAAAUAAAAUAAAAUAAAAAUUUAAAAACAAAACAUAAGAAAAAUCAAUUCUAAAAUUGAAAUAGAAAUACGCCUAUUUGAUAUGUCUUAUUUCACCUUAUUUAUUGAACAAUGGUCAUUUCAAUCACAAGUUUGGCUGCUCCACGAACACAAAACCUACAAGAGGCUCUAUAUUAUAUUUCAAUUGGUUUGUUCAUCGAAGAAGUUAUAUGUAAUGUGUGAUACAUAAACAAAGAGAAAUAAAUUAAAUACAUUAUUAUGUAAUACUAUUUAACUUGAUUUACUGCUGCAAAGAUAUUAACUUAUCAGUAACCCUUCUUUUUUGUACUAAUUAAGUUUUGUAUACAUCACAUUUCUUGAUUUGUUGAUAACAAAAACAUAAUUAACCUCGACUCCAUUAAUAAUUAUAUAUAUAAGACAUUUUAUAAAUAACUACAAAAUUAUACAAAAAACUAAAAGUCAUUCGUGAAUCACUAUGGCUUGUGAGAGGAUUUGUUGUGAAUUCGUAAAGUGUUUCCUUUUUUUUUCUCAUUAAUUUUUUUUGGUUAUUUAAUUUUUUUUUCAAUUUAAUAUUUAUAUAUUUAUUUAGUUUAAAAUUAAACUUCAUAAUAUAUUUCAUACUCCUUUCUUUCGACUUUUCAUAGUCAUUUAAAACAUCAUUGCAUGGACUUUGUUUUUAAUUUUACGAAGAAGAAUUCAAUUAAUUGAUUGUUUACGAAGAAUUAAAAAUAAGAGGACCAAAAUUGAAAGUUAGGUGAAAUGGUAGUCCUUUUAGAUGAUAUUUUCACUUCUCAGUCCUUAAUCUCUUCUUUUUUUUUAGUUCGGCCAUUGAGCUUUGUUUUUUUCAAAUUUAUUCUUUCAUAUUGCGUUGAUUGAUGAUUUAACUUGGUGAUUUGGUUUAUAUUGCUUUCUUUCGGUUUAGGGAUGUGUUUUCAGUUCAUCUUUAUAUAUUUAAUUCAACGGAGAGACAAUUUACAAACAAGUAAAAUUAGAGUGAAGUAAAAUUUUGUAUUUUUUUUCCCUCUUAUGUAAUGGUUUUACAAGUUUUUUUAAAAAAAAAGAAGAAGAAGAAGAUAAAUGUCUUUACUGUGGAGUCCCACUUUUGUAGUUAUUCCCUUUUUACUGUCUCUUAUUUAAAUUUUAAGGAUAAUUGAAAAAAUUCUAAAAUUUACAACUUCUACAUAAAAACAAGUAAAAUUAGAGUUAAGUAAAAUUACAACAUAAAAAUCAUAAUUUUCUAAUUAAAAUAUAAUAAUAUAGUGUUUAUAUAUUAAAAAAAUCCUAAACAAAAUAAUUUUUUUAACUAAAUAGGAAAAAAUUGUAAAUCAACUAAUAAAAUAUUACAAGUCUAGAUAGUUUUUGUGGUUUUAUUUGAAAGUCUUAUUGAUUUUAAAUGACUAAUAAAAUUUGAGUUGGAUUGAGAUAAAAAAAAAAAUUAUACCCUAUUCAAUACUGCUUAUUUAAAAAAAAUAUUAUAUAUAUAUAUAUAUAUAUAUAUAUAUAUAUAUAUAUAUAUAUAUCAAUCUUGUCUCGAAUUCAAAUUGUUAUCAAAUUAUUGUCGCUUUAAUUUAUAUCUAAUUAAAAAUUUCAAACCUUUGCAUGCUGCUAGCAACAUUCUCAGUCCUUUUGUAUUAAAAAUCCCUUUUGUUUUUAUAUUUCAAAAGCAUUUUUUUAAAAUAAUUUUAUUUUUUUUAUUGUAAAUUAAUUAUUUUUAUAUUUCAGAUCGAUAUGGUAAUAUUAAAAAUAAUUUUUUAAAAAUAAAAAAAUAUUAUUUUAAUAUAUUUCUAGAUAAAAAACAACAGUUGUAUUGCAGCAGAGGAGGUCACCAUAUUAUAAAAGCCACAAAAUUAGGAAAUCAAAAUAAAGAUUAGAUAAAUAAACAAGAACUUCUAAAAAUCUGAAACGGUCAGAUUUUAUUUGCAAUAUCGCUUUUAAUUUUAUUUCCUAGAAAUCCGAUACCCUCUCAAUUGAAGCAUAGAUAUCUAUCGUGCAGAACUUGCUUACAAAGAGCUCAAAAGUAGGUCUAAAAAGUCCUUUGAUGAAAAUAUCGAUUCUUUGUUAGGUAGUAGGAACAAAAUGCAUACACAUAACUCCUCUAUCAAUCUUCUCUAUUAUUUAGUGUUUAUCAAUCUCUACAUGCCUCGUACAAUCAUGUUGUACUUGAUUUUGUGCAAUACUUAUAGCAGCUUUAUUGUCAUAAUACAACUUCGUUGGCAUAUUCAUAGGCAUUCACAGUUCUUCAAGAAUUCUCUUCAGCCAUAACAUUUCACGAACUCCAUUUCCAUAACCUUAUAUUCUACUUAAGCGCUGCUUCUUACAACCACAUUUUGUUUCUUACUUUGCCAUAUAACAAUAUUUCCCCAGAUUUAAGUACAAUAUUCUAAUCUGGAUCUUAUAUCAAUGACUAAACCUGCCCAAUCUGCAUCAAGAUGUUUUGCAUGAGAUGAGUCUAACAACCCCAAUAUUUGUAUUCAAAACAAAGAGAAGGACAUGAUAAUUCAAUUAAGGUUAGGGAUUUUUUUUUUUGUAAUCAAUAAAAAUUUCAGCAGAGUUUCCUUUAUAUUUUUAGAUAUUAAAAUAUCGACUCUUCUUCUAUAAUCUCUAAUAAUCAAAUUUCUUAUUCGUUCUAUCAUCCAGGACUGAUUAUGUAAACUAUUGUGUAAAGUUAGGUACAGAGAGCGCAUAAACUAUCUUACUAAACUCACAAUAAAUGUAAUAUUAGAUCAUGUUUGUGAUAAGUAAAUCAGCUCUCCCACUAACUUUUGAUACUGUGUUGUAUUCAUACUAGAUCACCUUCCUUGUCAUCUUCAAGUUUUUGAUUGGGAUCUAUUGGAGUGUCUGCUAGCCUAGAACCUCUCAUCCCAGUCUCCUUAAGAAGAUCAAGGACACAUUGCUGUUGGGAUGUAACGAUCCCCUUCUUUGACAGAGCAAUCUCUAAUCCAAGAAAAUCCUUAAUCUCUAUUUCAAUGGCAUAUGGGUGAUUAUUAGAUUGAAAGGUUUUCCUUCUUUGAGAGCACCUUUUUUUAAGUGAAAUGAACACAACUUUGAGUUUAUACGCUACUUGUAAGAAUAGCAUAUGUGAGUAUGCUUUUGAGAUUUGAAAGAAUUCCUUGUUUAAGAGGAAAUUGGCCUUUGCCAUGUGAAAUGAACACCUUUUCAAUUUAUGCCCUGCAGAAUAUGCAGAGGAUUUUCUCCUGUGUUUAUUUAAAGUUGAUUGUCGGGCACAUCAACUUGCCCACAUAGAUCAUCCAUUGAUUAUGAAUGAAGAGCAAGAAUAUCAUGGUGAAGGAGUUAUGUGCUCUGUGUGCGCGGAGGCAAUGUCGGGUCCUAGCGAUUGUUGCACUUUUAGCAAAUUCUUUCUUCAGAAGAAGUGUGCUGAGCUACCCCUGGAGAUCAAGUGGCACUUGCACACUCUUCACCUGCUGGCAAAGCCACCAUCUCAUUACUCAAGAUGCGUUUGUGACAAGAGUUUUGCUCGCCAUUGUUGUUUCUGUGAAUUAACGAUAUCAAUUGUGCUCUUCCACCGUGCAUUUUUGAACUUGAAGGUCAGGAACAUCAAAUUAUUUGUCUAGCAAAGUAGCUUCAGUUGAAGAUUGCCUGUUUCACUUGCAAUGCAUGUGGCACUGAUUUGUUGAAGAUUAUUACCACCAGACGUCACAUCUGUUGCAUUUCUUCGUUCAGCUAACCCAGUCUCAGAAAAUUUUCCCUGUGAAUAGAAAGUUUCACCAAAACAGUAAAGCUACAAAUGUCAUUACAAUUUCUUAGUAGAUUUUCAACUUUGCCAUGAGUUUUCAAAACAUGAUAAAACAAUUUCUAUUUUUUAUUUUGUUCAAGCAACACUGACAUGUCAAUAAGAAAUGGCCAUUUGAUUUGUUUUUCAAUUUACAAUUUAGUCAAAUUCAAAAACUAACUCAAAAAAAGAGAGUAAAUAACCCGUUCAAAAUCUAAUUAGAAAUAAACUUCAUUUUUGGAUAUAUGGAAACUGAUUAUAAUGAUAACUUGACCAUUGAAACCUAAAAAAAUAAAUUUGCUAAUUAAGAAUUGUUAGGAAAAAAAUUUUUUUACUCAGAUUUGUUUAUUAGUGGAAAAAAAAAAGCAUCUAUCUGAAGAUGUCAUCUACAUGAUUUAAUGUUAUUUUAGUUUUUGCCUAUCACAAAAUUUUACAAAGCACAUUGAGCCAUGAAAAUGACCCGUUUUGGAAUGAGUCGAAGGUGGUUUUUGAAAUUACAGUUGGAUCGUGUUUUGUUUUUUUUUUUUAAUUAUAUUUUUAGUUUUAAAUUAUUAUUUUUUAUUUUUAUAUUAUUUUAAUAUAUUAAUAUAAAAAAUAAAUUUAUAACAAACACUUAGAAAACUACAGAAUCACAUUGCAUCGGUUUUUGCUUGAAAACAACAUGGUGGUGGUCCAGUUAAAUGCAUUUUCCUAAUCAAUGGCAAUGAUUUGUCAUCUUUGCAACCAUCGUCCUGUCAUCUUCGAGAGAGUAUGACAGUUUAAUCUAAUUAAUUUAUUUGUUUUAAUUAUUUUUUUUAAUUUUAUCAUUAAUAUUGUGUUUGAUUAAAAAUUAGAUUUUAUGAUUUAUUCUGGUUUAUUUUUUAUUAGAUUAUCUCAUCUUCAUAACCUAGGAAUGGUACUUAAUAGGUUAACUUGGGUUGAUUUAAUUUAUUUUUGUGUUAUUUUUUUAAUUAUAUUUUGUACAAAUUUUAUUAUUCAACAUUAAGUUUGACAUGGUUGAUUGAAAAUUAAACUUCAUGAAUUAUUUUGACUUAUUCUCCAUGAGAUUAUCUUAAUUUCAUGACCAAAGUCACAAAUUUGGUAGGUUAAACCCGGUUAAAUCAGGUCUUUUUUUUCUUUUUAUGAGGUUAUCUCAGUUUUAUAACUCUGAACAUGGGUUUAGCAGAUUAACUCGAGUUGUUUUUUAUAUUUUUUUAAUUGAUUUUUUUAAUCUUAUCCUUUAGCAUUGAGGUGAUUAGGGAUUGAACUUCAUAAUUUGUUUCGAUUUGUUUUUUAUGAGGUUAUCUCAGUCUUAUGACUCAGACAACAAGUUUGACAGGUUAACUCAAGUCGCUUUUUUAGAUCCUCUUUUUAGAUGAUUUUUUUUUUAAUUUCAUUCUUUGAUAUUAAGUUAAUUGGGUAUGAGGCUUCGUAAUUUAUUUUGAUUUGUUUUCUAUAGGGUUAUCAUAGUCUUAUAACCCGAGUCACAAAUUUGACAUGUUAACCUAAAUUGACUCAAAUCAAUCAACUAUGUUGUUAUCUUAAUAUUGAAAACAAAUAUCAUGUUUAUAUAUUUUUUUAAUCAAAUUAUGUUUUUACAGGUCAUCCAAGUUAUUUUUGAACCUGCAAAGUCAACCGGGUCAUAUUGGAUCAACCCCACUUAGUUGAAUUUUUUUCUACUAAAAAAAUAUGUUAGCAGCAUCUGUAUAUUUUUUCACGUUCAAGAAAAUUUUGACUCGACCAAUAGUGUAGCGCGGCUCAAUAAUCUAGUUAUAAUACUAUAUGGUAAUUGUGGUAGGAAAAAAACAUUUCGACCUCAUAAGCAAUAUAACACUGCACAAAUAGAAAAUGUACCCUGCAAAACUCGCAAAUCGAGAUAACUAAAGUUACCUCACCAAACUCGCAAACUGGGUCAUUAGCUUCAUAAAGUUUAAUAACUUAAUUUUUUUAUAUUAUUUUUUUUAACUAAAUUUUUUUAAAAAGUAGACUAUACUACGAUAUUGUAAUAUUUUUUUGAUACCAACUCAAUACUAAGAUAUUUUUUUAUACCACGAUAAUCAUAUAAAAAGUAAAUUAAAAUAAAUUAUCAACUUUAAAUCUCCAUAAUCACCUCAUAUAAGAACUGGAUUAAAAAAUAAUAAUAGUCAAAGGGGAAAAAAAAGGGGUCAAAAUGCACACAAAAAAACUAUGAAUUACUAUUGGUAAUUUACAGUGAUAAUGGAUGUGGAAAAAUAGUAUUUCCCCCGUACCUUUUAAUUGUAUUCUUAAUACUUGAUAAUACUAAAAGCCUUGGUAAAAAAUUUGAUGCAAUGAUUACGAGACAAGUAAAUCACUAAUAUAGCAUCAUUCAUCACUAGGAAAGGCAUAUAUGGGCUAGGGUUUUCCAUAUCUUUUGCACUAGGAAAGCCAUAUAUGGGCUAGGGUUAGGUAUAGAACCGUUGAAAAAUAUUAUUUUCAACCUGUCUCAUGAACUGUAAAUGCUUGAUGAAUGAUUGAAAUCAUGCUUGAACUUGACAACUCCAUUGUUUAGUCACUUUCCAGAUCAUGCAUCUAGAGAUUGUUACGUUUUUUCUGCUCACUGCUUUCUCUGUGUUCCAACAAUAAUCGAAGUGAGUCAACUCCUCCUCCUUGCACAGUCUUUGAUAGCCGGUUGACUAACUGAUGCAGUAUCUGGAAUUGCAGGAUCAGUUCUCAUACAAUUAAUUAGAUUUUUAAUUUCUUGUAAUAGUAUGGCGUACUAAACAUGUUAUUCACUAUUGAUGUGUAUUUGGAAUUGAAAAAGGGUUAGUGAUUUUUAAUUGUUCAUCCUUAUGAUCGAUACUAUUAACCCGAAAAAAACAAUGCAGGAGCUAGAACUGUAGUAGCUUUCUUGUAAUCAUGAUCCUUCUUUUAAUAGUCUAUUUACAUAAUAUAUUAUGGUGAUAGUUAAGAUUUAGUUAUUUUUAAAAACAAGGAUUUAUUUUGCCUAGAGUUUUACUAAUAUUUAAAGGAAUGCUACUAUUGCUAAAAAAAAUUACUUUGAUAUUUUAAUUGUUUUAUAAAGAAUUUAAUUUCUUUUUCUAGCUAAAACCAGAGUAUGGCUGUGGUAGUUAUCUCUUGCCUCUCUUUUUUUCCCUACAUCACUAGCCCUUAUCUAUGGCUAACACCUAUAGCUCGGCCUGUUUUCUUUUAAUCCAAACCGUUUUUUACUAACGUGGGCCUAGGUCUGGAAAAGCUAGCCUAGCCCGUCAUAAUACAGGAAUGCCGUUGCUCCACAGCAAUUUCCAAUUGUUCGUUUUCUCGGCAUAAGGAUAUCAAAAACCAUCAAGAAUACAUGGUUAAGGGACACUUUAUUUCUAUUAGUAUACUUUGUGUGUGUGUAAUGUAUACAAGCAUUUAAUUAAUUAUACAUUUAAUUAAAAAACUCUAUCUUUUUUCAUCAUCACCGCUACCACCGUUAUCAAAGUCUUAGUACAAGUUUUUCAUUGAAGUUGAACAUGUUUUUCAUUAAAAUUUAAUUUUUUUUUCUACUUCAUAUUAGGGGUGUUCAAAAAAACCGAUUAACCGAGAAAACCGAAAAAACCGAUGAAAAAUUAACCGAGAAAACCGAACCGAGAUGGAAAACCGAUUAAACCGAUUUUUAAAACCAUAAAAUCUUGUCGGUUCGGUUCGGUUCCGGUUUUACAGCAGAAACCGGUGAACCGAACCGAACCAAGUCACCAACCAUAAAAUACUAUAAAUACUAGUCUACAGUUAACUUAACCCUAAUAACAUUACAUUCGCCGCCGCCCAGACCAGAGACUGGUUUUCCCUUCUUCAUUUCCCUUUUAAUUUUCAUCCACUCUGCGUCUCUACCCCCUGCAUCUGUCUCUUCUCUAGCCAAACAAAAACCCACAUCUCCAUCUCUUUGGUUUCUCUCUUCACUUCACGUUUCGGUCUCUGUUCUAUCUCUCGCUCGCACGUCUGUCUUUUACCAUUUAUAAAUUUGCAGAGCCAAACAAGCAGGCAAGCAUGAGCGGUCAUGAUUCAAAGUAUUUCUCGACAACCAGGAAGGGUGAAAUCCUUGAGCUCAAAGAAGAGCUCAAUUCUCAAUACAAAGUUCAUUCGUCGUCUUUCUCCUUUCCAUUUUGAUUGAGUUGUUAGAUCUGCCUGAUUUUGACUGAUUGAUUUUGUUGGACUUUCUUCUGUAACUAGAAUUUCAUUGGAGGAUUGACUUUUAUAUUAAUUAUGUUUAUGUUGCUGAGAAAUCGUAUAAAAUUAUGCUGGGAUUUCCUUAGGUUUGGUUUUUGUUUAUUAUUAUAUAUUGAGAAUUGAAAUGGAGCUAUUAGGGAUCAUCUGAUGCAAAAUAUCCUUCCGUGAAAGAAAUCUAUUGUAUAAUUUUCAUGUUUGGCAUUAUGGAUUUUAGGAAUUCAGGUGAUUAGGUUUCCCGGUUUUAAAGCCAAAAAACCGAAUUUAACCGAACCGAACCGGUUCGGUUUGAACCGGAAUUCGGUUCGGUUCGGUUUGAAUUUUCAAAAAUUUGAGUCACUCGGUUCGGUUGGUUUUUAUGGUUCAAACCGAACCGAACCGAACCAUGAACAAGCCUACUUCAUAUUAAUUAUGUUUUAGUGUUUUUGAAUUAUUUUGAUGUAUUGAUGUUAAAAAUAAAUUUUUAAAAAUAAAAAAAAUAUUAUUUAAUGUAUUUUUGAACUAAAAACACAUUAAAAAACAAUAUUUACCACACUUAUAAACAUUCUCUUCACAAACUUAGAGAAUGGAAGUCUUGUUAUUACUAUUUCAAACAUUGAAAAUUUAAAGGAUCACCGUACCAUCUUGUAUUUGUUCCAUUUCAAAUAUUAGAUUACUUUUUAUUUAACCAAUAUUUUCUAGUGAUGUAUAUUUUGUUUUUAGUUUAACGUGGGUGUCCGGGCCAGCUUGCGCGCACCUCGACUAAUCCCACGGGCCCUGAAAUUAACGACCAUGUAAGUCUCCAGUGGCCAUCAUAUGAGCAACCACAGGGCUCGAACCUGAGACCACAGAGGGAGCAAACCUCUUAGUUUCAAGCUCUUAUUACUGGGCCACCACCUAGAUGGUUGUGAUGUAUAUUUUUUGUUUUAUGGUUGGAUGAUUUUUCUGGUACAGUUCGUCUUAUAAUUAAGACUAAAUCCAUUUCAAGGAUUCGAAUAAGGAGAUGCUAAUUAUUUGUGAUGAGACUAUUAGAUAAUAAAAUGCCAAAACUGAAUAAGUGAAGGAAAAAAAAAAAACCCAUCCAAUAGACUAGCUAGGCAAAUGGUGCUGCCCUGUUAAGCAUCAUUUUCGUUUUGAUAUUUUUCAAGGCUAAAAUAGACUAUAUGGCCUGUUUGUUUGUCAAUUAAAUAAUAAUAAUAAUUGGUUUGCUUGAUAAUGCCAAGCCCAAUUGGAUAACAACCCACCUUCAAAUCCAAGUAGUUUUUGUGGAGGGAGUAAAAGAAGUAUUUUUGUCAUAAGAAUUCCUUGUUCAUCUCUUAAGGCUGGAAGUGAGGCCCAUUUCAAAUCCCAGCAGAUGAGCAAACUGAUAUUCUUCCCUUGUACAGUACUUUCAGACAUAAGCAUGAUCAAGCAAACGGAUGAAUAAUCAAGAACAUAGUUAAUAAUUCUCCAGGAAAGAACAUCUCAGGCCACUUUCAUAAGCACAGAGGUUAUGCAAUGCUUCAAUCUUCAGUGCUAUCUCACACCUUACCUGCUCCUGACUUCGUGUUGCAUAUGAAGGUUGCAUUUGGCUGGUUUGUAGUGUUUUCUGUUAGAUGAUUUCACAAAUGAAUUCUUUCCAUCUUAUUAUAUAUCUUGCAAGGAGGAGGGGGGGAGUUGGAAGGAAAAGCUUGAGAGAUGAGAAAAUCCAAAUAGCUGCACUGCCUAAUAUUGUCCACCACAGCCUACAAGUCAGUAAUUGCAGUUUUAGCAUCAGAAUCUUUAUCAGCAAGCUCAUCAGGAAGAGGAAUAUCCUGGUAGUGCGCUGCUGCUUCUUGAAAAGCAGCACAUCGUCGGCCGUCCUAAUCAACGUUGCCCUUGGCAAAUCCCAUUUCCCCGUGCAGCAUGGCGUCUUUCACAACCGCCUUCGUGUACAGUUGAAGUUGAUUUUGAUAUCUAAGAAAUCAAAAAUUGAUAAAUAUCAUAAUACCGUCCGUGAAUCCUCACAAACGUGAAAAGCAGCACAUCGUCGGCCGUGCUAAUCAAUAUCUUUGCCAUUUCCCUUACUCUGCUCAACAUUGCUCUUGGCAGGGGCGGAGCUGGUAGCAUUUGACAGGGAAGGCUAAAACUAAUAUAAUAAGAUAUAUUUUUAAAAAAUUUAUUUAUUUAAAAUAAAAAUAUCAUACUAUUUUAUAUUUAAAUAUUAAAUUAAAAAAUUAUAAUGUUUUGCAGGGGCUGGCCGCUGCUUGCCUCCCCUGGUUCCGCCCCUGGCCCUUGGCAAACCCCAUUUCCCCGUGCAGCGUGGCGUCUUUCACAACCACCUUCAUGUACAGUAUCCCUUGAGAGCCCAGUUGAAGUUUUGAUUUUGAUAUCGCGUCGCAACCGUGAAUCCUCACGGUCUGCCCAUUUUUUAAAAUAGUUUGUCAUCAAAUUGACAAUUGACAUGGAAUACAAGUUUGUCAUCAAAUUUUUUAAAAUAGUUUUUACUCUAAAAUAUUUUAAAAUUAUUUUAAAUAUCAAUACAUCAAAAUAAAAAAUAAAUAAAAUAAUUUUUUAUUUUAAAAAAAGUCUUGAUAUGUCUGCAAAAUAGCGUAGAUAGUAACAUAAAGUUGUGUUAAACAAAAAUUAUAGUAUUUUUUUCUAAAAAAUGGAUAACAGAUGAUCAUUUAAAAAAAUAAAUUAAAUUAGUCCAUCUCUUUUCAUUAUAAAAUCUAGAAAUCCAAAGGCAAUAGUUUAUGUAAGGAUAAAGGAUGCUUAUGAGUUGGCUUUUCAAAAUAAAAUCACAAUCCUGUUUAUUUCUAUGUUUUAAAAAUAAUUUUUUAAAAAUAAAAAUUUUAUUUUUUUUAAUUCAUAUUAUUUUUUUAUAUUUUCAAAUUGUUUUGAUGUAUGUUGUCAAAAAUAAUUUUAAAAAAAUAUUAUUUUAAUAUACUUUCAAAUAAAAAACAUUUUAAAAAUCAAACAAUAUCAAUAAAUUAUGUACUUGUUUCAUAUUUAUAUAGAUUUUUAAACGUAGUUAACAUCAUAAGUUAUUAAACCCGUUUCAAAUCCCAGCAGAGAACCGAACUGAUAUUAUUCCCUUGCACAUAUGCUUAUGUACAUAAUAAAUCCAUUCGACGUCCUUUGAUCUUCAUCCUGCUACCAGCAAAAUUAUUGAUCAGAAGCUUAAACCCCCUCUUGUCAACCAAUCAUUUAUUAAUUUAAACGGCAAGAUAUAUCAUUUUAAGAUUUAACUAAGAUUUUUAAAAAUAUAUAUAUCCAAGUGCAUGUUGAUUUAUUAUUUUAAUAAUUAAAGGAUUUUAUCAAUACAUUUUUAACGUUUAGGUGCCUCUACUGUAAAAUACUUGCAUCCAUAGGCAAACGAGUAAUAUAGGAAGGAAGUAGAGGAAACCCAGCAAAAGUCAACGAGUCUUCUUCUCCAACAAGAAAAGACCCUUAUUCACAUACGCACAAAUAGAGGAGCCUGUAGCUUUCCUCGUGAUCUUCUACCCGCCUCUUCCUUACGGGUAACACCCUUCCUUCCUUUUUGGGUUUCUUUGAAUCUUGGAUCCUUUGAAUUAUUUUUCGUUUCGGUUCUCCGUCCCAUAAUCUUUGAUAAAGGGGAAGAGGGAAGAAAAAUGCUUCCCCAGCAAUUGAUUGGUAUGCGAUCUUAAUGGGAAAUCACUGUGUUCUGGAUCUCGUAGGUUGAUCUGUAAUGUAGCAGUAAGCAGCUGUAAUUAUUUAAUUAGCCGUCGGUGAAGAGGUCAAGUUUCAGUUCAGAAGGUGAGGUAUUGAAUACUAGCAGCACUCAGCUUUUAUUUGCCUUUCCAUUUCGAUAACAUAUAUAUUCGGCAGCUUCAAUAUGGCCUCCCUAUGUCUUGCCUUGGCUCAACACCUCUCAUUUCCUGCUCUGUCUUCUGAAAGAGUCAGAGACAUGGAGGUUGAACAUUUUAGCCACCCAGAUCAUCCAUUGAUCCUCAUGAAUCAAGUUCUCGAGUUUAGUUGUGAACUAGUUAUUUGCUCUGGAUGCGAGGGACCUAUAUGGGGUCCUUGCUACAGUUGCACCUCUUGCUACUUCUUUCUUCAUAAGAAAUGCGCCGAGCUGCCCCGUGAGAUCAAGCGGCGCAUUCAUCGUAGACACCCUCUCCAUCUACUGGCAAAGUCACCAUAUAAAGGAAACUACCUUUGUAAUCGGUGCACCAAAACUUUCAACAGUUUUGUGUACCAUUGUUCUUACUGUAAGUUUGAUCUAGAUAUCAAAUGUGCUUUUGAACCGGGUUUUUUUGAGGUUGAUAGUCAAUUUGCCCAUAAGGAUCAUCCAUUGAUUUUGAAUGAAGAGAAAGAAUAUCAUGAUGAAGGAGUUAUGUGCUCUGUUUGCAAGGAACCAAUGUCGGGUCCUAGCUAUAGUUGCACUUCUUGCAACGUCUUUCUUCACAAGAAGUGUGCUGAGCUACCCCCAGAGAUCAAGCGGCACAUUCAUCCAGAACACCCUCUUCGUCUACUGCCAAAUCAUCACAUGAUCUGUGGUUUUUGCAAAGAAACUUGCUAUGAGAGUUUUGUUUACUGCUGUUUUGUGUGCGAAUUCAACCUCCAUAUCAAAUGUGCUUUUCCACCUUGCGUUUAUGCAGCUGAUCAGGAUCAGGGGCAUCAAUUUAGAAGCCUGAUGAAUCCACUUUCAUUCAAAUCAAUCUCCUUCACUUGCCAUGCAUGUGGCACUGGGGGAGAUGACUCCCCUUUCAUGUGCACCAUGUGCCAACUCGUGGUCCACGAAGAAUGCAUUUCAUUGCCAGGCACCCUUAAAACGGCACUGCACCAUCAUCCCCGAAUCAUCCACGCGUAUCAACAUCAACAAUGCAUCGAAUCGAUAAACAAGUACUGUGGAAUUUGCUGUCGGGAAGUUGACACAGAAUACGGAGUUUACUAUUGCCCAGACUGUGACUUUGUUGCACACGUGAAUUGUAGCAGAGAAUAUGGCGAUUCGGCAACAGAGACUGGAGGAGAAAACGAAGAAGAGCAAAGUGUGACUGUUGAUGAUCAAUUCAUGGAACCUAGCUUUCGCGUAGUCCGUGAGAUCAAGCAUGGAGAGGAGAGAAUAAUUGAAGAGAUCGAACAUUUCAGUCAUCAACAUAACCUAAUCCUUAAUGACAAGGUUGAUGAUGAUCUAAAGUGUGAUGGGUGCAUGCUACCAAUCUCAACUCCAUUUUAUAGUUGUGCCAGGUGUAAUUUCUUUCUUGACAAAACCUGCAUAGAAUUACCCAAGAAAAAAAAGUGGCAAUAUCACGAAAACCAACUGAUUCUUUCAUGGAGCCGAAGGGAACAUUUUCUGUACAACUGUGUUGUGUGUAAUCAAUAUUUUCGUGGGCUCAGGUACACAUGUGAUGUAUGUCGUCUCUGCAUUGAUGUCCGAUGCUUCAAAUCAUUGAAAGAUUCUUUUAAACAUGGAGGUCAUGAGCAUCCCCUUUAUCUUCCAGCGGACAGAAAGAAAAUUCUCCGUUGCACUAUUGGAGGUCGCGGGGUUCCCCCUUGGGUUGCAGAUGACGGAGAGAUUAUUCCCCAUUGCAGUGGCUGUUGUGUCAGUGAAGAAUCAAAGGUAUUUUUUAAAUGUGCGGUUUGCGAUUUCAAGCUGGGUAUGAAAUGUGCUACACUGCCAUACAAAGCAAGACACGAGUAUGAUGACCAUCCUCUCUUCCUCACCUAUAUUAAUGCAAAUGACUACCAACCUUCCUGUAUAAUUUGUGAAGAAGAUAGAGACCCAAAGCUCUGGUUCUACCGUUGUGAGGAAUGCGACUUCGAUGCUCAUCCAGAAUGUGCUCUCGGGAAAUACCCAUUUUUCAAGCCAGGGGGUGUUCUAACAUAUCCUAAACACCCUCACCCUCUUGCUUUGGUCAUCAAGACAGAGGAUUAUCGUCCACAGGCAUGCGAUACUUGUGGUUUGCCUUGCGACGACUUGGCCCUAGAAUGUACUGAUCCUAACUGCAGUUUUAUCGUCCACCGGGAUAGAUGGGAAUGCUAUGAGUCAUUAUGGUGAUUGGAUUGCAGUUGAUGGCUUUUUUCUUAUUUUUGGGUUAUGAUUGUUGGGGUGAAUGGAUGGAUACAUAUGUAGCUUCAUACUUAUUAUUUUCGCAGAUGAGAUCACUUUUUUUUCUCUCUCUUUUUUUCUGAACAAUGGAUGCUAUUUUAUUAAAACUGUCAAGCUCUCCAUAAAUUCUGCAUUUACAUUUUCGUUAUAGAUUUUAUUGUAAAUGCAUAAAAAUAGUCAUAUAAAACAACACUUAUCUAACUGAUAUCAAUUAUUUUCAUUCAAAUAUUUAAUUUUUCUUUCCUUAACACAAUCUAAUAUUAAAUAAAUGUAUUUAAAUAAUAUUUAAAACGAACACCUCAAGGCCAUUCGAUAGCUUUGUCCUUUAAUAAGAUAUAUAAUGAAAAAAUAAGUUAAUUCAUGUUUUUGAUAUUUUUCUUCUUAAGAAGAAUUAAGAUUUUGCCUGUUUCACUUGCAAUGCAUGUGGCACUGAUUUGUUGAAGAUUAUUACCAUCAGACGUCACAUCUGUUGCAUUUCUUCGUUCAGCUAACCCAGUCUCAGAAAAUUUCUUCAUUUGUAUAGGUAUUGAUAUCAUAAAUAAAAUUCAAAAAAUAAAAAAUAAAAAUUUUAAUUCAUUUAAAAAAAAAUUUAAAUUUUUUUUUUUUUACCACUUCUCGUAGCAAUCCACGUAGCCUCGGUUUUACUUUGAAAACAACUUGGCAACUGAAUGGUGGUCCAGUUAAACGCAUUUUCUUAAUCAGCAGUUUUCCUUUUGAAAUGAAAACGGUUGGCGUGUACUUGUGCUUCCUUUUCUUUUUCUUUUUUUUUUGUUUUUUUUUUUUUAUUAACGUAGAUGUCCGGGUCACUUUGUGCGUACCUCAACUAAUCCCACAGACUCUGAAGUUAAUAACCAUGUAAGCCUCUAGUGGCCCUGAGAUUUGUAGGACUCGAAUGGGUGACCUCUAGAGAGCAAACCUAGGAUCUAACCAGUUAAGUUACACCUCUCAGGAUUUUUUCUUUUAUUUUUAUUCCAUAGUAAAAGGUAAUUUUUUAUUAGUUUAUAUGUUAAUCAAGAUUGAGUUUUUUUAUUCAAAUAAUUUUAAAGAUAAAUAAUUUAAAGUUAUGAAUCAUCUAAUAAUCCAUUUAAAGUUAUAAAGUUAUAUAGUUGUGAUGUGUCUUAAAUCAAAUAAAAACUAUACUAGAUUAUUAAUUUGCAUUACGCUACAGGCCAAGUUAAUUUUUUUAUAAAUAUAAAAAAAAUAUUUAGAUAUUGUUAAUUUUUUUUUUCAGUAAAAAAAUCUAAAUCACUUGAAGAUUGACCUGAUAUAACUUGGUUGAUUUUACGAGUCUAAAGCAACUCAUACAACCCGAAAAAACAUAGUUUGACUAAAAAAAAAUUUAAGAUGAUAUCUUUUUUAAUAUUAAGAUAAAAAUAUAUUUUACUGUUUUAUUAAAUUAAAUAUAGAAAAAAAAGUUUUUUAAUAGAAGUAAAAUAAACACUUUUGUCUUAUGAUUUAUGUGCACAUUAAAAUGUGUUUUAUAUACUUGAUUUGGUUCUUGAUCUAUAGUAAUGAAUCAGUUUUAUUUAAAUAAUUAAGUUAUUAUAUGAAUAUGAAUUGAAUAUAAAUAAUUAAGUUAUUUGAAACAAUAAACAAUAAAAGGACAUGAGAGGAUGAAUAUGAAUUGAAUCCUAAUUAACUCCACUCUAAAACUAAUAACUUAUUAUAUGGACAAGAUCCAUUAACUAAGAAACGGACCAAUCCAGUAGAAUACUAAGCAAUGGACCAAUCCAGUAACAAGAAGUUAAGGAGACCCACUUCAAGUCAACGAGCCUUCUUCUCCAACCAGAAAAGAAAGGGGAAAGUGUCUUCUUAUUCACAUGCUUAAAUAAUAUCAUCUGCACAAAAAGAUAGCUUUCCUCAUGAUCUUCUUCCCACCUCCUCCUUACAUAUAACACCCUUCCUUCCUUUUUGGGCUUCUUUGAAUUCUGGGUCCUUUGAAUUCCUUUUUCGUUUCGGCUUUCUGUCCCGUAAUCUUUGCUAAAUGGGAUGAAAGAAGAAAAAUGCUUCCCCAGCAAUUGAUUGGCUGAUCUGUAAUGUAGCAGCAAGCAGCUGUAAUUAUUUAAUUAGCCGUCGGUGAAGAGGUCAAGUUUCAGUUCAGAAGGUGAGGUAUUGAAUACUAGUGGCACUCAACUUUUAUUUGCCUUUCCAUUUCGAUAACAUAUAUAUUCGGCAGCUUCAGUCUUACCUUGGCUCAACACCCCUCAUUUCCUGCUCUGUCAUCUGAGAGGGCCAGAGACAUGGAGGUUGAACAUGUUAGCCACCCAGAUCAUCCAUUGAUCCUCAUUAAUCAAGUUCUCGAAUAUAGUUGUGAACUAGUUAUUUGCUCUGGAUGCGAGGGACCUAUAUGGGGUCCUUGCUACAGUUGCACCUCUUGCUACUUCUUUCUUCACAAGAAAUGCGCCGAGCUGCCCCGUGAGAUCAUGCGGCGCAUUCAUCGUAGACACCCUCUCCAUCUACUGCCAAAGCCACCGUAUAAAACACGAUGCUUUUGUGAUCGGUGCUACAAAACUUGCAACAGUUUUGUUUACCAUUGUUCUUUUUGUAAGUUUGAUCUAGAUAUCAAAUGUGCUUUUCAACCGGGUUUUUUGGAAGUUGAUAGUCAGGCACAUCAAUUUACCCACAAGGAUCAUCCAUUGAUUUUGAAUGAAGAGCAAGAAUAUCAUGGUGAAGGAGUUGUGUGCUGUGUGUGCAAGGAACCAAUGUCUGGUCCUAGCUAUAGUUGCACUUCUUGCAACGUCUUUCUUCACAAGAAGUGUGCUGAGCUACCCCCAGAGAUCAAGAGGCACAGUCAUCCAGAACACCCUCUUUGUCUACUGCCAAAUCAUCACAUGAUCUGUAGUUUUUGCAAAGAAACUUGCUAUGAGAGUUUUGCUUACUGCUGUUUUGUGUGCGAAUUCAACCUCCAUAUCAAAUGUGCUUUUCCACCGUGCGUUUAUGCAGCUGAUCAGGAUCAGGGGCAUCAAUUUAGAAGCCUGCUGAAUCCACGUUCAUUCAAAUCAAUCUCCUUCACUUGCAAUGCAUGCGGCACAGAUGGAUAUGGCUCCCCAUUCAUAUGCACCAUGUGCCAACUCGUGGUCCACGAAGAAUGCAUUUCAUUGCCAGGCACCCUUAAAAUAGCACUGCACCAUCAUCCCCGAAUCAUCCACACCUAUCAUCCUCAACAAUGCAUCGAAUCUAUAAACAAGUACUGUGGAAUUUGCUGUCGGGAAGUUGACACAGAAUACGGAGUUUACUAUUGCCCAGACUGUGACUUUGUUGCACACGUGAAUUGUAGCAGAGAAUAUGGCGAUUCGGCAACAGAGACUGGAGGAGAAAACGAAGAAGAGCAAAGUGUGACUGUUGAUGAUCAAUUCAUGGAACCUAGCUUUCGCGUAGUCCGUGAGAUCAAGCAUGGAGAGGAGAGAAUAAUUGAAGAGAUCGAACAUUUCAGUCAUCAACAUAACCUAAUCCUUAAUGACAAGGUUGAUGAUGAUCUAAAGUGUGAUGGGUGCAUGCUACCAAUCUCAACUCCAUUUUAUAGUUGUGCCAGGUGUAAUUUCUUUCUUGACAAAACCUGCAUAGAAUUACCCAAGAAAAAAAAGUGGCAAUAUCACGAAAACCAACUGAUUCUUUCAUGGAGCCGAAGGGAACAUUUUCUGUACAACUGUGUUGUGUGUAAUCAAUAUUUUCGUGGGCUCAGGUACACAUGUGAUGUAUGUCGUCUCUGCAUUGAUGUCCGAUGCUUCAAAUCAUUGAAAGAUUCUUUUAAACAUGGAGGUCAUGAGCAUCCCCUUUAUCUUCCAGCGGACAGAAAGAAAAUUCUCCGUUGCACUAUUGGAGGUCGCGGGGUUCCCCCUUGGGUUGCAGAUGACGGAGAGAUUAUUCCCCAUUGCAGUGGCUGUUGUGUCAGUGAAGAAUCAAAGGUAUUUUUUAAAUGUGCGGUUUGCGAUUUCAAGCUGGGUAUGAAAUGUGCUACACUGCCAUACAAAGCAAGACACGAGUAUGAUGACCAUCCUCUCUUCCUCACCUAUAUUAAUGAAAAUGACUACCAACCUUCCUGUAUAAUUUGUGAAGAAGAUAGAGACCCAAAGCUCUGGUUCUACCGUUGUGAGGAAUGCGACUUCGAUGCUCAUCCAGAAUGUGCUCUCGGGAAAUACCCAUUUUUCAAGCCAGGGGGUGUUCUAACAUAUCCUAAACACCCUCACCCUCUUGCUUUGGUCAUCAAGACAGAGGAUUAUCGUCCGCAGGCAUGCGAUACUUGUGGUGAGCCUUGCGAUGACUUGGCCCUUGAAUGUACUGAUCCUAACUGCAGUUUUAUCGUCCACAGGAAAAGAAGGCAAUGCUCUAACUCAUUAUGGUAAUUGGAUGGCAGUUGUUGGCUUUUUUCUUAUUUUUGGGUUAUGAUUGUUGGCAGUUGCCAGACAGAGGAUUAUUAUCUCUGUUUCUAUUUUCGCGUAUGAGAUCACUUUUUUGUUUCUCUGUUUUGUUCUGAACAAUAAAAGAUGCUAUUUUAUUAAAACUGUCCUUGAAGGUAGUUUGUUGUUUCUUUGAGCCUUAGUAAGUGACAAAGAUGUCCAUAAAUUCUGCUUUUACAUUUUUGUUAUAGAUUUUAUUGUAAAUGCAUAAAAAUAUUGGCAUAUAAAAGAACACUUAUCUAACUGAUAUCAAUUAUUUUCAUUCAAAUAUUUAAUUUUUAUUUCCUUAACAUAAUCUAAUAUUAAAUAAAUAUAUAUUAAAUAAUAUUUAAAACGAACACCUCCGGGGCAUUCGAUAGCCUUUUCCUUUAAGAUAUAUAAUGAAAACGUUUAGAAACUGAUUGAUUUUUAAUUUAGACAAAAAGCUCUUUCUAGCUCAAACCCAAUUUAAUUAUUUUUCAGGCUAAUUAAUGGAUAGUCCAGAAAAAAUAAUUAAUGCUUUUUGAAACUUCUACUGCAUUUUUUUUUAGCGGCAAAAACAAAUUAUUGAGUAAAAUCACUAUAUUAAAAUCAUAAUAUAAUUUGUUGUUUCUUUGUGCCUUCGUAGUGACAGAGAUGUCUGACCAUUUUUCUUAGCUUAGCAGGAAGCUCUCCAUAAAUUCUGCUUUUACAUUUUUGAUAUAGAUUUUAUUGUAAAUGCAUAGAAAUACUGUCAUAUCAAUUAUUUUCAUUCAAAUAUAAAAUAACACUUAUCUAACUGAUAUCAAUUAUUUUCAUUCAAAUAUUUAAUUUUUAUUUCCUUAAACACAAUCUAAUAAUAAAUAAAUGUAUUUAAAUAAUAUUUAAAACGCAUACCUCAAAGGCAUUCGAUAGCUUUGUCCUUUAAUAAGAUAUAUCAUGAAAAAGUAAGUUAAUUCAUGUUUUUGGUAUUUUUUCUUUUAAGAAGAAUAAGAACAAGUAUCGAUCUUCUUUAUCUAAUUUCUAAACCACGAAAGAAUAAGAACAAGCCAUUUCGAUCGAUCAUUUGGUUUUCCAUUUGCUAAGACAUGAUAAUCCCCCGGGGAGGAGAUAAUUAUGCUGGAAUUGACUUUGAUGUUACAACAAAAAGCUUGGCCAACAUUUCAAGUAUUAAAAUAAAAAUAUAAAAAAUCACCUGAGUCAACUCGAGUUAACCUAUUAAGUUAUUUAUAAAUCAUGAAUCGUGAUAACCUAAUAAAAAAAACUGAAAAAAAUCAUGAUGUCCAACUCAAUAUUAAAAAAUUAAAUUGAAGAAAAAAAUCAGUUAAGAAAAUAAAAUUAAAAAAAAACUUGAAUCAAUAGGGUUAACCACCCAAACUUAUGAUUUGAAUUAUAAGGCUCGGACAACAUAAUAAAAAAUAAAUUCAAUGUCAAAAAUGAAAUUGCAAAAAAAAAAUAGAGAAGCAUUUAUUAAAAAAAUAAAAUGAAAAAAAGAAAGAAAAAAAAAGCACUAUGAAAAAAGAAAAAAAAAGGCACUAAAGUGCUUUGUUUAGAUGCCACAGGUACUUUGCCUUAAUUUUUUCGGAGUUGAUCAAUGGAUUAACCAAGAAAUAGAUUUUACUUCUAACAUUCUCUGAAGAAAAUCUUUGUUUAACUUUCUUAAUACAUUUUACUGUAAGAAACAAGGAGAAAGGAAAAAGAAAAAGGACAAACGAGAAAUUACUUGGUUGAGAUAACCAAGAAAUAGGUUUAUCAACGGAAGGACCUAAUUUUCUGUUCCAGAUAAACUUGAUGAAUCCGCUGUUUCGUAUUUUAAUUAGUGCUUGUUUGAAAGUGUAGUUGCAGUUUUUUUUAAAAGUGUUUUUUAUGCUGAAAUAUAUGAAAAUAAUAUUUUUUUUAUUUUUUAAAAAUUAUUUUUGAGAUCAGUGCAUUAAAACGAUCCAAAACAUACAAAAAAAUUAAUUUUUAAUAAAAAAAUUUGAAUUUUGGUAUAACAUGGUUUAUACCGCGUUCAUCCAAACCACGUAUAAAAUAACAUCAUGUAUAAAACAUUAAUUCAAAAUAAAAAAAAUAUUGUUUUAAAAACAUUUUUAAAACAACAAACAAAUUAUAAGUUCUGAGUUUGAAUUAAAAAUACUUCUAUUUGAUAUGGUCAUUUCAAAAUAUUUUUUUUUUAUUUUUACAAAAAAAUCAAUUUUGUUGUUAGAGAAAAACAAAAAUCAAGGGGUCAAAAUUAAAAGUUUGGUGAAGUAGUAGCCUUUUUAAGAAAACAUAAGUGUCACAGCCUUUUAAACUUAAAAUUUGGUCAAAUAUUAGUUUUGAUCCCUUCGGCUUGGAAAUUAUACUAUUUGGUUCAAAAUUUUAUUUUAUUUACAUUUAAGUCAAUAAAUUUAAAAGAAAAGGGUAAAAGUUGCUAGAUUACAACGAAUGAGAGAGAAUUAUUAUUAAUCACAUUCUAACAAUCAAAAAAAAUCAUUCUUGAUAUUAAUGAAUUCUAUUUCAAAAAAAGAAUUUCAUUAAUGUAUUUUUUGCCCAAUGAACUUUUUUUAAACCCAAACAAAUAUUGAGUUUUUAUUAAGUUAUUCAAUAAGAGUUGGUACAUAUAACAUUAUGUGCAAUUUGCUUAAAUAUUUUAGUUAAUUCAAAUGAAAUAUCAUAAUAUUAGUUAAUUAUGUAAUUGUUCACAUUUCAAGGUUAUUAAGAGUUAAACCGUUUGAUUUUAAAAAUUAAAAAAAAAGUGUUUUAAAAUUAAGUGUUUCCUUUUUUUUCUCCUUAAUGUUUUUUGGUUACUUAAUUUUUUUUUUCAAUUUGAUCUUUACAUAUUUAUUAAAUUUAGAAUUAAGCUUCAUGAUAUAUUUCAUGCUCUUUUCUUUCGAGUUUUCAUGGUCUUUUAAAACAUCAUGGCAUUGAGUUUGUUUUUAAUUUUACAAAGAAGAAUUCAAUUUGAUUGUUUACAAAGAAUUAAAAAUGAGAGGAUAAAAAUUGAAAAUUAGGUGAAAUGGUAGCUCUUUAGAUGAUAUUUUCACUUCUCAGUGCUUAAUUUCUUGUUUUUUUUAGUUCGGUCAUCGAGCUUUGUUUUUUUUCAAAUUUACCCUUUCACAUUGCAUUGAUUGAUGAUUUGGUUCGUAUUGCUUCUUUCAGUUUAUCAUAAUCUCCAAAAAACUACCACCACAUUAGGUUGGUUCUCUAUUUUACAAAAAACAAAAAAUCAAUUUUUUUGUUAGAGAAAAACAAAAAUUGAGGGGAUCAAAAUUAAAAGCUUGGUGAAAUGAUAACCUUUUUAAAAAACAAUGGGUGUUAAAGUCUUUUAGACUUAAAAUUUAGUUCAAUAUUAGUUUUGGUCCCUUCAGCUUGAAAUUAUACUAUUUGGUUCAAGAUUUUAUUUUAUUUACAUUCCAAUUCUUAAAUCUAAAAGAAGACAAUAAAAGUUAUUGUUAACCAUAAUUUAGCAACCGAAACAAGUUGUUCUUGAAGUUAAUGGGUUCUAUUUCAAGAUAAGAAUUCCUCAUCAGAUUUCAAGAUAAUGGGUUGUUUAGAGUAGGUUUGUUUUCAUGUUUUAAAAAUAUUUUAAAAAAAAUUUAAUUUUUUUUGUUUUAUAUUAAUUUUUUUGUGUUUUUAAAUCAUUUUAACGUGCUAAUGUCAAAAAAAAAAAUUAAAAAAAAAAUAUUAUUUCGAUAAAUUAUUUAAGUGAAAAACACUUUGAAAAACAAUUCCCACCACAAUACAAAAAAAAACUCUUAUUAGUUGAAACUAAAUUAUUGGUAGCGCUAAAUUUUAUCUAAAUUUCUUUUAACAUAAAAAAAAUAUUCAGAUGUUGUUAAUGAUUUUUUUCUAAUGAAAAAAAAAUUAAUGCAAGAGUUGAUUUGAUGUGACUUGGUAUAUUUGACAGGUCUAAAAACAAUCCAAAUGACCAGUAAAAACAUAAUUUAACUAAAAAAUUAAUAUAAUAUUUUUUUUAAUAUUAAAAAGAGAAGUUAUUGAAUCGACUUGAAUCAAUGUAGGUUAACAUAUCAAAUUCAUUACCUGAGUUAUGAGAGCAGUAGGAAGUUUGAAUAAGAAGUGCACCUAUUUGAUAGGUCACCUCAUUUGAUGAACAGUGGUCAUUUCAAUCACAAGUUUUGCCUACUCCUCGAGGCACGAACACAUAACCUCCAAAAACAAAUCACUAAUUAAUGUGUGAUACAUAAACAAAGAAAAAUAAAUUACUUGAUUUGCUGCUGUAAAGAUAUUAAACUUACAUACACCCAUAUUAUUUUAUAUUAAAUAAAUAAAAUUAAUAAAAUUUAAACUUUUGAUUAUUCAAGACUCUAGUAUUAUAUAAAAAAUUAUUUUAAUUCAGUAACUUAAAUUAUUAAUUAAAGAGGAAAUGAGAAAUUGGUCCGUGCCCACCAUUCCAGAAUACAAUAGACAUCCAGCUCACAUGAUUACUUUUACAUGGAUAAUCAGUCAAGACAUGACCCUGGGGCUCUCAUGAUUUCACGUGAACAACAACAUUUUCUCAUUGGCAAAGGUUUUCACAAUGAUGCUGACUUGAAGACGUGACAAAUGCCUUUUUUUUUUUUUUUUUAUCUGAGAUUUUAAAAUAUAAUUUAUAUUAUUUUUUAAUAAAUAUAAUUUAAGGUAUAAUUAUCAAACCUAUUCUAGCCGGUAAGUCGACUUAAAGUCUAGCCACCCAGGCUUGAUUUCUUUUUGAACCAAUAAAUCAACCUUUAACCUGGUUACUGUAUCAAACUUGAGUGAGAUUUAAUCAGGUUAUUUCCAAGGAAUUUUACAAAAAAUUAUCUCGAUGUUUUGUUUUCAAAAAACCACUAAAAUGAUAUCGUUUUGAAACUAACCACUCUGUUACUGGGGACUUUAUUCGGGUAUGAUAAAGUUCAACAAGAUUUCCUGCUUUAUAUAGUUAUUUGAGACUCUUUUGUGUGAGAAUCCAUGGAGUUUUCAUCUGUUCUUUACAUUUGUUUUGUAUCUGUUUCAUUAUCAGUAUCAUCAAAUAAUUUGUUGAGUCUGACAGAUAGAAAUUAUCCCAGUUCAUUCACAGGAUGAAGACUGGCGAAGAAUCAAGCGAGAAAAAUGAUAAGGGAGAUCAAGUUUGCGGGUUAGCAGCAAAUGUGAAAAAGAAUUUGGAAACCUUAGGUCCAAAUCCUUUAUCGGAAGAGUGUUGUAUCUAUAAAGUUCCAAAGCGACUGCAAGUGUUAAACGACAAGGCCUACACACCUCAAGUAGUCUCCAUUGGUCCAUUUUUAUGUAAUACUAUUUAACUUACUUGAUUUGCUGCUGUAAAGAUAUUAACUUAUCAGUAACCCUUCUUUUUUGUUCUAAGUUCUGUAUAUAUCACAUUUCUUGAUUUGUAGAGAACAAAAACAUAAUUAACCUCGACUUCAUUAAUAAUUAUAUAUCUAAUACAUUUUAUAAAUAACUACAAAAUUAUACAAAAAAAACUAGAAGUCAUAUGUUAAUCACUAUAUGGCUUGUGAGAGGAUUUGUUUUGGAUUGCAAAGUGUUUCUUUCUAUUUUUCAUUAAAUUUUUUUCAGUUACUUAUUUUUUUUCAAUUUAACUUUUACACAUUUAAUUAAUUUAAGUAAAAAACACUUUAAAAAACAAUUAAAAAAAAUUAUUCUUGAUGUUAAUAAGUACCAUUUCAAGAUAAAAAUUUUAUUACUGUAUGUUUUGCUCCUCAUCUUACUAGAAAAAGUAAAUUCUUUAGGGAUUUUUUUUUGAACCGGAACAAAUUUUGAAUUAUUUAAUCAAUUAAACAUUGUUUAGAGGUUAUGUUUACGAGGUGUUUAUAAGUGUUUUUAAGUGAAAGAAAUGAUUGAAAUGUUGUUUUGUGUUCAAAGAGAGGGGAGCAAUUUUCUAGUGACUUCCAGCCUCUAGAGUUUCUCGACGAUGAAACAAAUAGGUGGCGUGUUUUUAAUUUGUCACUACAAAAAACAUAUUGGAUUAAUUAGAAAAAAAAAAAAAUGUGUUGAUUGACGUGCUAGGCCUCCUGGAUCAGUGCUUAACCAUUUUUUGCCCUUUUAAGUCUAUUUAAUGUAGAAUUAGAUAACUAAAUAUAUAUAUAUAUAUAUAUAUAUAUAUAUAUAUAUAUAUAUAUUUAUUAAUUUAUUAAAUUAAUACAAAAUAUAUUAAAGGUGUUUUUUUUAAUUAACAUUAAAAUUUUAGUUUUAGUUUGAAUAAUGUUAUAGUUGUCUUUUUAAAAUUUUGACAACCAUUAUUUUUUAACAAACAAUUAUUAUUUUUAGUUUCUCCAACAUUUUUUUUUCGAAAUGCAUUCAAUGAUUACCUUAUGAUUUAUAAUACUAUAAAUUUGACUUGACAUGUUUUAAACAAUAAAUAGUUAAAUUUUUAUUUUUAUUAUAUAUAAUUGAUGCCAUUUUUAUUUUAAUUUAAUAAUUUGUGGGUAAUAAACAUGAAAAAUAUGAUAUGAAAUAACAUGAGAGGAUCAAUAUGAAUAUUUGAAUUAAGAUCCUAACUCCACUCAAGAUAGCUCCUCUAAGACUAAUAGUUUCUAAUACUAUUCUUCAUUUUCAUCUUUUGUUUUGUAUUCAUUGUUAAAUUAUUAUAUGGACAUGAUCCAUUUUCAUCUGAAUUUAAUGAACAUGAUGAAAUGUGAUAUAUAAGAGAAUGUGUUUUCAUUUUUUUUUUAUAUCUCUAAUUAUAUAAUUUAAUUCCAAGAUAAAUGAUCUUCUCUAACAUGUCCUGUCUAUGUUUUCCAUUCAAAUUAACAGAAAAGCCACACGACCUUCACAAAUGUAUUUUGAUAUAUAAAAAUAUCACUUACUCUAUAUAUAUAUGAUAAGUAGCUCAUUAUUUCUUAUAUCUCAAAGAUUGUUUCUAAUAAGUCUUUAUAAGUGUAAUUAUAUCAGUUAUAUCUUUAAUUUUUAGUUAAGUUAUUCAAUAAGAGGCUGUGCAAUUAUAUCAGUUAAAAAAAUAAGUGUAUUUUUAGAAAGUUACUUCUCAUUUCUUAUUUUCUUGAAAUAAAUUAGAUAAAAAUAAUUAAAAUAAAAGAGAUAAGAUAAAAUAUAAGACAAAGAAAAAGUUGUAUUUAAUAAUAAUAUAUAAGUUAGAGUAAUUGUCUUUAUACAAAUAAUAUAUGAAACCAUCCAAACUUAUUUGAAACAAUAAAUAAUUAAGUUAUUAUAUGAAUAUUAAUUGAUUUUAAAUAAUUAAGUUAUUUGAAACAAUAAUCAAUUAAAGGACAUGGGAGGAUGAGUAUGAAUUGAAUCCUAAUUAACUCCACUCUAAAACCAAUAGUUUCUAAUACUAUUUUUCAUUUCAAUCCUUUACCUUGUAUUUAUUGAUAAAUUAUUACAUGGACAUGAUCCAUUAACUAAGCAAUGGACCAAUCCAAUAGAAUAAAGACAUUUGUUUGCAUAAUUAAAACAACAAUAAUUCUAAGAACCUAUAAUUAAUCUGGAAAGAAAAUAGAAAGGAAACUCAUGAUCUUCCUCUACCUCUCUCUUUUCAUUAUAAAACCUAGAAAUCCAAAGGCAAUACUUUAUGUAAGGGAUGAUAAAGGAUGCUUAUGAGUCGGCUUUUCAAAAUGAAAUGGUAAUUUCUUCUACGAUUUUGCUUUAGAUAUAUUGAUUUACGAUUUUGAUAAUUAAAGUAUUUUACCAUACAAUUUUAAUGUUUAGAGGUGCUCUGAUGCACAAUAAUUAGAGUUAGUUUAUUUUUAUAUUUCGAACAGGCAAACGAGUAAUAUAGGAAGUUGAGGAAACCCAUCAAAAGUCAACGAGCCUUCUUCUCCAACAAGAAAAGACAGGGGAAAGUGUCUUCUUAUGCACAUACUUGAACAAUCUCACCCUCACAAAUAGAGGAGCCUGUAGCUUUCCUCGUGAUCUUCUACCCGCCUCUUCCUUACAGGUAACGCCCUUUCUUCCUUUUCGGGCUUCUUUGAAUUUUGGGCCCUUUGAGUUAUUUUUCGUUUCGGCUCUGUCCCAUAAUCUUUGAUAAAGGGGAAGAGGGAAGAGGUCAAAUUUCAGUUCAGAAGGUGAGGUAUUGAAUAAUGAAUACUAGCAGCACUCAACUUUUAUUUGCCUUUCCAUUUCGAUAACAUAUAUAUUCGGCAGCUUCAAUUUGGCCUGCCUAAGUCUUGUCUUGGCUCAACACCCCUCAUUUCCUGCUCUGUCCUCUAAGAGAGCCAGAGACAUGGAGAUUGAACAUUUUAGCCACCCAGAUCAUCCAUUGAUCCUCAUUAAUCAAGUUCUCGAAUAUAGUUGCGAACUAGUUAUUUGCUCUGGAUGCGAGGGACCGAUAUGGGGUCCUGGCUACAGUUGCACCUCUUGCUACUUCUUUCUUCAUAAGAAAUGCGCCGAGCUGCCCCGUGAGAUCAUGCGGUGCAUUCAUCCUAGACACCCUCUCCAUCUACUGCCAAAGUCACCAUAUAAAGGAGAAUACGGUUGUGAUCGCUGCCAAAAAACUUGCAAGAGUUUUGUUUACCAUUGUUCUGUCUGUGAAUUUGAUCUUGAUAUCAAAUGUGCUUUUCAACCGGGUUUUUUUGAAGUUGAUAGUCAGGCACAUCAAUUUGCCCACAAGGAUCAUCCAUUGAUUUUGAAUGAAGAGCAAGAAUAUCAUGGUGAAGGAGUACAGUGUUGUGUGUGCAAGGAACCAAUGUCUGGUCCUAGCUAUAGUUGCACUUCUUGCAACUUCUUUCUUCACAAGAAGUGUGCUGAGCUACCCCCAGAGAUCAAGCAGCAUUUGCAUCCAGAACACCCUCUUCGUCUACUGCCAAAUCAUGAUAUGAUCUGUGAUUUUUGCAACGAAACUUGCUAUGAGAGUUUUCUUUACUUUUGUAUUGUGUGUGAAUACAACCUCCAUAUCAAAUGUGCUUUUCCACCGUGCAUUGAUGCAGCUGAUCAGAAUCAAAGGCAUCAAUUUAGACGCCUAAUGAAUCCACUUUCAUUAAAAUCAAUCUCCUUCACUUGCAAUGCAUGUGGCACAGAUGGAGAUGACUCCCCAUUUUGGUGCACUAUGUGCCAACUCGUGGUCCACAAAAAAUGCAUUUCAUUGCCACGCACCCUUAAAACGGAACUGCACCAGCAUCCCCGAAUCAUCCACACCUAUCAUCCUCAAAAACGCAUCGAAUCUAUAAACAAGUACUGUGGAAUUUGCUGUCGGGAAGUUGACACAGAAUACGGAGUUUACUAUUGCCCGGACUGUGACUUUGUUGCACACGUGGAUUGUAGUGGAGAAUAUGGGGAUUCUGCAACAGAGAUUGUAGUAGAAAACGAAGAAGAGCAAAGUGUGACUGUUGAUGAUCAAUUCAAUGAACCUAGCUUUCGCGUUGUCCGUGAGAUCAAGCAUGGAGAGGAGAGAAUAAUUGAAGAGAUCGAACAUUUCAGUCAUCAACAUAACCUAAUCCUUACUGACAAGGUUGAUGAUGAUCUAAAGUGUGAUGGGUGCAUGUUACCAAUCUC